RNAcentral lists this ribosomal RNA (108 nucleotides) under Anteholosticha paramanca. Its description in RNAcentral is "5.8S ribosomal RNA". It matches the Rfam family "5.8S ribosomal RNA", at positions 8 to 117 of the family's 154-position model. Rfam says of the family: 5.8S ribosomal RNA (5.8S rRNA) is a component of the large subunit of the eukaryotic ribosome. Lineage: Eukaryota; Ciliophora; Spirotrichea; Urostylida; Holostichidae. The record is from RNAcentral.
AACGAUGGAUAUCUUGGUUCCCAUAACGAUGAAGAACGCAGCGAAGUACGAUAAGCAGUGCGAAUUGCAGAACCGUGAGUCAUCAGAUCUUUGAACGCAACUGGCGCU